RNAcentral lists this ribosomal RNA (397 nucleotides) under uncultured bacterium. RNAcentral's name for it is "partial 16S ribosomal RNA". It matches the Rfam family "Bacterial small subunit ribosomal RNA", at positions 523 to 918 of the family's 1533-position model. The record is from RNAcentral.
AUACGUAGGGGGCGAGCGUUGUCCGGAAUGAUUGGGCGUAAAGGGCGCGUAGGCGGCGCGGUAAGUCUGGAGUGAAAGUCCUGCUUUCAAGGUGGGAAUUGCUUUGGAUACUGCCGCGCUUGAGUGCAGGAGAGGUUAUCGGAAUUCCCGGUGUAGCGGUGAAAUGCGUAGAGAUCACACAGAACACCGAUUGCGAAGGCAUCUCACGAACGGAUGAUUGACGCUGAGGCACGAAAGCGUGGGGAUCAAACAGGAUUAGAUACCCUGGUAGUCCACACUGUAAACGAUGAAUGCUAGGUGUAAGAGGUAUCGACCCCUUUUGUGCCGGAGUUAACACAAUAAGCAUUCCGCCUGGGGAGUACGGCCGCAAGGUUGAAACUCAAAUGAAUUGACGGGG